GAUGAAGAACGCAGUGAAAUGCGAUAAGUAAUGUGAAUUGCAGAAUUCAGUGAAUCAUCGAAUCUUUGAACGCACCUUGCGCUCCUUGGUAUUCCAAAGAGCAUGCCUGUUUGAGUAUCAUUAAAUUAUCAACUGUACCAAUUUGGUUGCAGAUUGGAUGUGGGAGAUUUUGCAGGCUUUUGAUUUCUCUUUGAGAAAACGGUCAGCUCUCCUGAAAUAUAUUAGCAGUGCCUUUGUUGGUUCAUUAGGUGUGAUAAUUUAUCUACAUCUUAACAUGGUACCUUCAUUUGUGUAAAGGUCAUAUUGCUUCUAAUUGUCUUUGGACAUAAAAAAAAAAAAACAUAUAAUUGUAUGGAAAACUUGAUCUCAAAUCAGGCAGGACUACCCGCUGAACUUAAGCAUAUCAAUAAGCGGAGGA
RNAcentral lists this unclassified non-coding RNA (418 nucleotides) under soil metagenome. RNAcentral describes it as "partial contains 5.8S ribosomal RNA, internal transcribed spacer 2, and large subunit ribosomal RNA". The stretch from base 1 to 120 matches the Rfam family "5.8S ribosomal RNA", at positions 35 to 154 of the family's 154-position model. The record is from RNAcentral.